RNAcentral lists this ribosomal RNA (253 nucleotides) under uncultured bacterium. Its description in RNAcentral is "partial 16S ribosomal RNA". It matches the Rfam family "Bacterial small subunit ribosomal RNA", at positions 524 to 776 of the family's 1533-position model. The record is from RNAcentral.
UACAGAGGUCUCAAGCGUUGUUCGGAAUCACUGGGCGUAAAGGGUGCGUAGGUGGCGUGGUAAGUCAGAUGUGAAAGCCCGGGGCUCAACCUCGGAACUGCAUCCGAUACUACCAUGCUAGAGUACUGAAGGGGUGACUAGAAUUCUCGGUGUAGCAGUGAAAUGCGUAGAUAUCGAGAGGAAUACCAAAGGCGAAGGCAGGUCACUGGGCAGUUACUGACACUGAGGCACGAAGGCCAGGGGAGCAAACGGG